This is a non-coding RNA of Rattus norvegicus (Norway rat), 1179 nucleotides long. The record is from RefSeq and is a predicted model, not a curated record. Lineage: Eukaryota; Metazoa; Chordata; Mammalia; Rodentia; Muridae.
UCAGACCUGUGAGUCAGGACAGGAUCUGGGUCGAGGAUAUGACCUGGUGAUCUGCAUCUUCACAAACUCCCUGGGUCUGAGAACUGAGACUCCAGUGACUUUGGCCACAGCUGAGGCAUAUGGCAGAGUCUGGGAUACAGUGACCUGACUUGCAGCAGCCCAUCAGGGAGAUUGGGCGGCUUUAGAACAACAGCCUCAGAAAGAACAAGGCUUAGGAGAUCUCUGUGUCUGGAGGGCGCAGGAUGGGACAGAAUGAGGAGAAAUUAAACAGAGCCAGAAAUAUUGGAACCUGAUCUGAUCUUCGAGAACAUUCUGAAAACUAGGAAUCCAAGGCCCAAGGAGGGCACAUGGUCUACUUUGCUUAUCUAUUGAUGUAAUAAACACUGUGACCAAAACAGCUUAGGGAGGAAAGGGCUCUGUUCAUCUUAAAACUCUCAGGUCACAAUGCAUCACUGAGGGAAGUCAGGGCAGGAACCUGGAGGCAGGAACUGAAGCAGAAGCCACAGAAGGACAUUGCUUAUUGACUUGCUCUCCCUGGAUUUCUCAGCCAGCCAGCUUUCUUUCUUUCUUUCUUUCUUUCUUUCUUUCUUUCUUUCUUUCUUUCUUUCUUUCUUUCUUCCUUCCUUCCUUUCUUUCUUUCGAUUUAUUUAUUUAUUAUAUGUAAGUACAGUGUCUUCAGACACACCAGAAGAAGGCAUCAGAUCCCAUUACAGAUGGUGGUGAGCCGCCAUGUGGUUGCUGGGACUUGAACUCAGAACCUCUGGAAGAGCAGUCUCUUAACCACUGAGCCAUCUCUCCAGCCCUCAGCCAGCUCUCUCAUACAGCCCAGCUCCACCUGCUUAGGGAUGGCACAGCUCACGGUGCACUGAGCCCUCCUACCUCAACUAGCAAUAAAGAACAGCCACAGACCAACGGAGAGUGUCUUGCUCUCUGUGGUACCAGGCUAGCUGGCCUGACAGCUCUCAGGAAUUCUUCUGUCUCUAUCAGGAUUACAGAGACAGAGUCUCUCACUGGCUUGGAGGCCAUCAAGUAAGCUUCUGGUUGGCCAGAAAGGACCGGGGACCUGCCUGUCUCUACCUCUUCGACACUGGGAUUAUCAGCACACAUCACUAUGCUUGGAUUUUUUUUAUGGGGGUUCUGGGAAUUAAACUCAUGAUCGCGCACUUUCAAGGCAAACCU